This 73-nucleotide transfer RNA is filed under the name Zootermopsis nevadensis. It matches the Rfam family "tRNA". From Rfam's summary of the family: Transfer RNA (tRNA) molecules are approximately 80 nucleotides in length. Lineage: Eukaryota; Metazoa; Arthropoda; Insecta; Blattodea; Termopsidae. The record is from Rfam by way of RNAcentral.
GCCACGGUGGUCUAGCGGUUAGAACGCUGGCCUUGUAAUCCUAUGGUCUCGGGUUCGAUUCCCGGCGGUGCCU